This 1343-nucleotide ribosomal RNA is filed under the name uncultured bacterium. RNAcentral describes it as "16S ribosomal RNA". It matches the Rfam family "Bacterial small subunit ribosomal RNA", at positions 28 to 1378 of the family's 1533-position model. The record is from RNAcentral.
GACGAACGCUGGCGGCGUGCUUAACACAUGCAAGUCGAACGGAAAGGCCCUGCUUUUGUGGGGUGCUCGAGUGGCGAACGGGUGAGUAACACGUGAGUAACCUGCCCUUGACUUUGGGAUAACUUCAGGAAACUGGGGCUAAUACCGGAUAGGAGCUCCUGCUGCAUGGUGGGGGUUGGAAAGUUUCGGCGGUUGGGGAUGGACUCGCGGCUUAUCAGCUUGUUGGUGGGGUAGUGGCUUACCAAGGCUUUGACGGGUAGCCGGCCUGAGAGGGUGACCGGCCACAUUGGGACUGAGAUACGGCCCAGACUCCUACGGGAGGCAGCAGUGGGGAAUAUUGCACAAUGGGCGGAAGCCUGAUGCAGCAACGCCGCGUGCGGGAUGACGGCCUUCGGGUUGUAAACCGCUUUCGCCUGUGACGAAGCGUGAGUGACGGUAAUGGGUAAAGAAGCACCGGCUAACUACGUGCCAGCAGCCGCGGUGAUACGUAGGGUGCGAGCGUUGUCCGGAUUUAUUGGGCGUAAAGGGCUCGUAGGUGGUUGAUCGCGUCGGAAGUGUAAUCUUGGGGCUUAACCCUGAGCGUGCUUUCGAUACGGGUUGACUUGAGGAAGGUAGGGGAGAAUGGAAUUCCUGGUGGAGCGGUGGAAUGCGCAGAUAUCAGGAGGAACACCAGUGGCGAAGGCGGUUCUCUGGGCCUUUCCUGACGCUGAGGAACGAAAGCGUGGGGAGCGAACAGGCUUAGAUACCCUGGUAGUCCACGCUGUAAACGGUGGGUACUAGGUGUGGGGUCCAUUCCACGGGUUCCGUGCCGUAGCUAACGCUUUAAGUACCCCGCCUGGGGAGUACGGCCGCAAGGCUAAAACUCAAAGGAAUUGACGGGGCCCUGCACAAGCGGCGGAGCAUGCGGAUUAAUUCGAUGCAACGCGUAGAACCUUACCUGGGUUUGACAUGGAUCGGGAGUGCUCAGAGAUGGGUGUGCCUCUUUUGGGGUCGGUUCACAGGUGGUGCAUGGCUGUCGUCAGCUCGUGUCGUGAGAUGUUGGGUUAAGUCCCGCAACGAGCGCAACCCUUGUUCACUGUUGCCAGCACGUUAUGGUGGGGACUCAGUGGAGACCGCCGGGGUCAACUCGGAGGAAGGUGGGGAUGACGUCAAGUCAUCAUGCCCCUUAUGUCCAGGGCUUCACGCAUGCUACAAUGGCUGGUACAGAGAGUGGCGAGCCUGUGAGGGUGAGCGAAUCUCGGAAAGCCGGUCUCAGUUCGGAUUGGGGUCUGCAACUCGACCUCAUGAAGUCGGAGUCGCUAGUAAUCGCAGAUCAGCAACGCUGCGGUGAAUACGUUCCCGGG